GACAAACCGUGCGAACGUUGUUCGGAAUCACUGGGCUUAAAGGGCGCGUAGGCGUGCUGCCAAGUCCGGGGUGAAAUCUUUCGGCUUAGCCGGAAAAGUGCCUUGGAUACUGGCGGUCUCGAGGGAGGUAGGGGUAUGUGGAACUUCCGGUGGAGCGGUGAAAUGCGUCGAUAUCGGAAGGAACGCCGGUGGCGAAAGCGACGUACUGGACCUCUUCUGACGCUGAGGCGCGAAAGCUAGGGGAGCGAACGG
Molecule: ribosomal RNA, 252 nt
Filed under: uncultured bacterium
Lineage: Bacteria
Description: partial 16S ribosomal RNA
Rfam family: Bacterial small subunit ribosomal RNA
Source: RNAcentral